UUACGGCCAUAUCACGUUGAAACACCGGUUCCCGCACGAUCUCCCGAAUUUAAGCAACGUCGAGUCUGGUCAGUACCUAAAUGGGUGACAGCUUAGGAAUACCGGAUUCUGUAA
Non-coding RNA from Acanthosepion pharaonis, 114 nucleotides. The record is from the annotation of a GenBank genome assembly. Lineage: Eukaryota; Metazoa; Mollusca; Cephalopoda; Sepiida; Sepiidae.